This 3102-nucleotide long non-coding RNA is filed under the name Equus caballus (horse). RNAcentral describes it as "lncRNA (ENSECAG00000044511.1)". The record is from RNAcentral. Lineage: Eukaryota; Metazoa; Chordata; Mammalia; Perissodactyla; Equidae.
AGACUACCAAUUUACAUUCCUGUCACCAGCAGUGGAAAAUUCUUGCCUCAUUGCAGCCUUGUGGGCAUUGAGUAUUAUCAUUUUAAAAAUCUUUGCAAGUUUAAAGGCAAAAAAAGUAUCUUAUUGUCAUCUAAAACGCAUUUAUGUUAUUAUGAAUAGUGUUAAACAUGUUUUCUCUUUUUUGCCUUGUUAACUUUUCUGAUAACUGCUUUUUGUUAUUUGCACAUUUUUUCCUACUGUAAUUUUCUUCGUAACGGUUUGCCUGGUAGAUGUGUUACAGGGAUAUUUUCCAGUUUGUCAUUGCUUUUUAAUUUUGUAUGUGAUGAUAAUUGACAUAGAACGGUUUACAGUUUCAAAUCUACCAUUCUUUUAUUUUGAUUCCUACCAAGCUUUUAUGCCUAGAAAGGUCUUUCUCUACCUGUUCCAUUUAUCUAUUGCUGCAUAACAAAUGACCCCAAAUUUACUGCUUAAAACAAUAAUCAUUUAAUUAUAUUUAUAUUUGUAGGGCAGGGAACUGGGUAGGGUCAGCUGGUGAUUUUUCUGCUUCACUCGGUGUGGACAGAAGGCAUUCAGUGUUAAUCAGCUGACUGACUAGGAGAGUCCAAGAUGGCGUCACUCACAUGUCUGGGGCCUUGUGGGGACGGCUAGAAGCCUGGGCUCAGCAGGGACUGUCCACUGAGUGCUUCCUUGUGGCCUGUCCGGCACGGAGGCCUUGGGGUAGUUAGAAUUCUCACAUGGCAGCUCAGAGCUCCAACAGUGAGUGUUCAGCAAACAAAGCAGACGCUGUAAGCCCCUUUAUGACAGCCUGGGACGUCAGCUGCUCUGUCAGUCGGGGCAGCCUCAAGCCUUCCCAGAUUCAAGUGAGCUUCGUGGGAGAUGUAGUGUAGAAUUCGUGGCCAUAUUUUCCUAUUGCCUCUUUACCCCACGUUCCUAACUAUGGAUGGGCAUUUCCACUUCUCUUCCCUCAAAAAGGGCCACACACAGCUGAUACCAUGGGCCCUAGGAGAAGGACACCUGGCGAGGACAUCUAAUCCUGUCUGGCAGGAACAUUUGAGACUCAGGACUCCUGAAAGUUUACUUACCUCAUCCCUCCGCUUUCAGCCAACUCUUGCUGACAGGCUCUUCCAGAGAAAGUUUGCCCUGUGACCUGAGCCAGAACACACCCCAACCCUCUCUGGAGAGAAGCAGAGUCGGGGAAAGAAGAGAUUUCAUAGUGUGGACAGUGUUGGCUCUUCAGCGCCGAGGCCUCUCGAGCGUUGGUUUGCGUUUCUCACAGGCGGAGAGCACAGCAGGAAGGCCUGCUGCAGGAAGAGGAAGGACUUAAGGGGGAGGACUUCCAGGCAGGGAGGAGGUAGACAAGUCAGAGGAGGCUCCCAGAGGCUGUGUCCUUUUCUGCCUUUUGGCCUUUCUGAGAAUAGCAAGAUGGAGAUCUGAGCUUUUAGCUCCCAAGGUCCUGCCAGAUCCCAGAAAGCACAAAUCGGAGAUGGGCCAACCUAAGGGCUGUCUGCGAUGGCGGAUGAGGGAAGAUGGCCUUGCGACUUACUCACUCUGUUGGUUGCCUUUGCUGCUGACACCCAUCAGCUGCACUCUGCUUGCUCAUAGAACCCUGGUUUGGUUCAGGUCCCCGUGUGAGGACACAAUGCUGGGACUGCAGCUGCUAUCUAGACACCAUGAGGACAAACGCCUGCAAGCUGAGGAUAGUAGAGAGAGAAAAUGGAAAGAACCUGGGUCCUCGAUGACAUUUUUGAGCCACUCAUUUAAGUAACCUUGGAAUGUCUCUGCUUUGGAAGCUCUUAUUGUGAGAGAAUAAUUUGUCCCUGUUGCUCGAGGCCACCCUGUUUGGGUUUGCUGUUACAAAAGCCUGCCAACUGCUGAUGAAGCUGCCUCUUUGGCGCCCACAUUUCCCUCCGGCUUGGAGAGCGUUUGGGAGAAGGCAGCACUAAGGCAACGGUGCCCUCAGAGUGCAGUGUGAAGUAACACUACCCCGACCCCUGGGAGCGCCUGAUGAUGCCGACAGGUGGGGCGCCUGCUUCCAGGAGCAGUGUGUGGACAGAACUUGCAAAGGGCCACAGGUCCACUGCUGCAAACGUGGAAGAGAUCUAAGCAAGAGGAAGUACCUUGGGAGGAUGAGCAACCUUUCCUUCCUCCAGUCCUCAGCCUGGAAAUUCCAGGCAGGUGGCAGUGACAGAGCGGAGCACAGACCACAUUCCUACCUCAGAUAAGGGCCACAUAGGUGACUCCCGAAAGGGUUGAGCCAUCACGGCUGAGAGCUAAAGGGACCUGCCCCAGGCCAUUGCUCAACUCCAGGGACAGUGUCUCACUUGCACUGUGCCUCAUCGACCCUGGCUGGCUGCAGUUUCAGUCCCAUGAGAAAGGGAUUAUUUGGGGUAAUUUGGUGACAUUAUUUUCGGUGUCUCAGUAUUCUGGGAUUAAACACACCGUCGAUCACAGCGUGUUUGGAAGAUCACCGCCUGCUCGACACACUCUCACUGGGCUCAAUGUGGGAGACUGGACGCCCGGCCUGCGGCUGGAUGCUCGGAAGGCUCGGGGUCGGCCAGCGCGCUCAGGGCAGGGCUGCGGGCGGGAGGGGCGUUAGCAGCCCCAGGGGGCCCCCGAGUGCCCAGGGCAGGCCUGCAGCCCCUGUGAAGCAAGGAAGAGCCAUGUGGUGUAUGGUGAAAAUGGUGGAGGGAGACGGGACAAAGAAGGCGGAGGAGUGGGGCAAAGCUGAGAAGGAGGGAGAGGAAACGCCACGACAGAAGCUCCAAAGAGCACUGAGGAAAGUACUCCUGGAGAGGACCAUGAAUGCUCCCUAGAGACACAGUUUAUUCCAGCCUCAAGGCCUGCGCGCUCGCUGUUCCCUCUUCCUGAGACCCUGACCGCUGUCUCCUCUUCAGUGUUCAGACUCCAGCCUACUCUUUACCUGCCUGGGGGACGUGUCUUCAGCACUCCAACUAAAGCAGCACCCACCACCUCCUCAACCCUCCACUCUGCUUGUUAUUCUGUUUUAUGUUCUUGAUAGCACUUAUUGCUGUCGGAAUUUGUCUGCUGGAUUUAUUUAUUUCCUGUCUGUUUCAAAGAGUAGACUCAAAUAAAAGCUUUGGG